Long non-coding RNA from Arvicola amphibius (Eurasian water vole), 686 nucleotides. RefSeq lists it as uncharacterized. The transcript has 3 exons. NCBI's taxonomy places the organism in Eukaryota, Metazoa, Chordata, Mammalia, Rodentia, Cricetidae. The record is from RefSeq and is a predicted model, not a curated record.
CAGCGUCCCAAACUUUGAUACUUAUCUAAGCAAACAACUCUCAACUCUCCUCAACCAGCUCUAGAAGGCAGGUGCCCGAGAUAAGGGAGAUGGGAGUUCUCCCUUUCUCUAAUCCAGUCUCAACUGACCACAUGACACCAUCGCUCUCCCUGGAUAAGAAGCCGCUUUCAACUCGGAGACUGUUUCCAUCCACCACGGUACACCUCCUCCCACCCGAUUCCCCAUCUGCUGGCUCACCACCGUGAUUAACCACAAGGUGUUCUAUUUUGGCUAAAUUGAAGGUGGCACGAUCCUGGGAUUUGAGACGGCUUCAGUGACUGGGCAGUUUUUCUUAGGAGCAGCAAAUUAUUGAAAGAUCAUUCAGAAGUAGCACAGGGAAAGCAGAGAUGCUGUGGGGGCAGAGACAGUUGCUCCACAUUCAAGGAGAUUUGUUCUGUUACUGUGUAAACCAGCCUUAGGCUCAGCUCUUUGUCAUCAGAGAGCGCCUACUUCUAUAAUUACUUUUCUCUGUUUAUCAGGGAAGCCCUUGAAAAGGAACGGGAAGAAGUAGAGCAGGGAGGAGUGCUGGAAGCAAAGAAUAAAGAUGAAGCCUGGGUCCUGUUCCUGUUCCUGAUCUUCUGUUGCUAUAACAAAAUACCCAUGACUAUGUAAUUUAUAUAUACAUUAAAAAAGAAAGUUUAUUUGGC